Molecule: long non-coding RNA, 543 nt
Filed under: Ursus maritimus (polar bear)
Lineage: Eukaryota; Metazoa; Chordata; Mammalia; Carnivora; Ursidae
Description: lncRNA (ENSUMAG00000002169.1)
Source: RNAcentral
GACCUAAGAGCGAAUGUGUGUUCGCGCGCGUUUGUGAGACUGUGUGUGUGAGACAAUGUACAUGAAGAGACUGUAUGUAUGUGUGUAUGUGUGUGAGAGAGACUGUGUGUGAAGAGUCUCUGUGUGUAUGAGAUUGUGUGUGAGACUGUUGGAGUGUGUGAGAGUGAUUAUGUACACAAUACACUGAGAGGUUUUUAAGAGAUUGUGUGAGUGUGUGUGUGAAAGUGUUAGUAAAGGAGUGUGUGAGAGAGACAGUGUGUGUAAGAGAGUGUGUUUGUGAGGGAGAGAGGAGAGCAUGUGUGUUGGGGUGUGUGUGUAAUACAGAGUUACACCCCAGCGGGAUGCCUCCGUUCUUCCCUGGAGCGGGAGCUGUUCCUGGGUGUGCUGUGGAUGCCUGUCCUGAAGAGCCGUCCAUCCUUUGCAAUGUUGUGACGGGCACACAGCUGGUCCUGAGAAGGCAUCAUACUGAGACAAGCAUGUGAGAUUGCAUUCAUUCCUGUUGAUAUGAUAUACCACAUGAAGAAAAACAAAACAAAACAAAAC